GUCUUCGUGGUGUAGUGGUUAGCACACUUGGCAUGUAUUCGAGAGGUCCGUGGUUCGAGUCCAGGCCAAGGCA
RNAcentral lists this transfer RNA (73 nucleotides) under Stegodyphus mimosarum. It matches the Rfam family "tRNA". From Rfam's summary of the family: Transfer RNA (tRNA) molecules are approximately 80 nucleotides in length. Their secondary structure includes four short double-helical elements and three loops (D, anti-codon, and T loops). Lineage: Eukaryota; Metazoa; Arthropoda; Arachnida; Araneae; Eresidae. The record is from Rfam by way of RNAcentral.